This 721-nucleotide long non-coding RNA is filed under the name Populus trichocarpa (black cottonwood). RNAcentral describes it as "long non-coding RNA (PTRI_LNC000769)". Lineage: Eukaryota; Viridiplantae; Streptophyta; Magnoliopsida; Malpighiales; Salicaceae. The record is from RNAcentral.
UACCUCAACAUCUCCACGGCCAUCUGAUUCAGCAAAUGUACUAACUUUGCCAUCAUGCUCUUGUAGAUUGGCCAUACUAUUGCUUUCAGGUUCCUUUUUGCUAUCUUGAAGCUCCAACACUCUACCUAAAUCUAUGUGUUGAUGUUCUGAGAGCUUACCCCCACACACAUUAAUUUCAUUCUCUGAGGUAAAAUGGUAUUCAACAUUGGCAGCAGAUUCAGGUGUUGCUUUUGGCUCCCUCAGGAGAUUUUCCUCCCCCAAUCCAGGUACAGAAUCACCCUCAGUUUCAAUUUUAGACACAUUGCAUCUUUCUAUUUUACCCUCUUCAUGAGCAUCAGCAUUGACAUCUCCAAGUAUGCUGUUCCUUCGAUCAACUUGUUCGGCGGGAAUACUAGCAUGUCCAGAAGUUGGUAUUCUGUUUUCUGCACAAUUCUCCACUGCAUUUCUUUUGUUUAUGUCAUUUACAGCUAUUUCGGAACUUUCAAUUUUAUCUUUAUCAUGAUUACCAGUAUCAUCUAAGUUUGUCUGCCUGACUUCAGCAUCUAUUGGCACUACCAGGGUGUUAGUAACAGAUAUGGCGUUUGUAGUGUGCUCUAGAUAACUCGUCAGAGAUGAAGUUUCACAAUGAUCACGAGGUACUUCUUCGGGAGAUUGAACAGAAAUGCUCUUCUCCAGGUCACCUACCACAACAUCUGUUACACCAACUUCUGAUUUAAGGGGC